UCCACUGCAGCAUAGCAAGCGCACCUUAUGUAAUGCAGGGCGGCAGUGAACAGGCGGAGUCUCGCGCUCCUCACUCACAGGCUGCUGGUUACAAGCGCUAGUUUUGUGUUAUGUCAUAUAGCGAAGUAACUUCUACGAACGCACAGCAUACCGCUAGAUUUCCUCGUGUUGGUCACGAAAGAGCUACGUAAACCAGUAUGUUUGGAGCGGUGGUUGUUGGCAUUGGCACAGCAGGUUGGGUGAGGAUUAGAGACAUGUUAGAUCCUCUUCCUGGCAGUCCUGCAGAGAAACUCAAUGUCAGAGGAUUCAUAUCGAGGAGAAGCCUGGAUACUCAACAGGGAGUGAGUCAGAUCACAGUAGAAGAGGCUGUGAGCAGAGAAGACAUUCAUGUGGCGUUUAUCUGCACUGAGAAUGUGUUGCAUGAGGACAACAUCAGGUAAUGUGUAUGGCGGCAAAAGUCCCUCAACUUGAU
Long non-coding RNA from Cottoperca gobio, 472 nucleotides. RefSeq lists it as uncharacterized. The record is from RefSeq and is a predicted model, not a curated record. Lineage: Eukaryota; Metazoa; Chordata; Actinopteri; Perciformes; Bovichtidae. The transcript has 3 exons.